AGGAUGAACGCUGGCGGCGUGCCUAACACAUGCAAGUCGAACGUCCUGUCUCGCAAGAGGCAGGGAGUGGCGGACGGGUGAGUACCACGUGGGUCAUCUACCGUGAGGUGAGGAAUACCGGCGAGAAAUCGCCGACAAGACCGCAUAGCCUCGGUGCAAGCCGAGGAAAGCUUUCUCGAGAGAGGGAGCGCCACACGAGGAGCCUGCGCCCGAUUAGCUAGCUGGUGGAGUAACGGUUCACCAGGGCGACGAUCGGUAGCUGGUCUGAGAGGACGAUCAGCCACACUGGGAUUGAGAACGGCCCAGACUCCUACGGGGGGCAGCAGUGAGGAAUUUUCGUCAAUGGGGGCAACCCUGAACGAGCAACGCCGCGUGCAGGAAGAAGGUUUUCGGAUCGUAAACUGCUUUUCUCGGGGAAGAGGAACGGACGGUACCCGAGGAAUCAGCCCCGGCUAACUACGUGCCAGCAGCCGCGGUAA
This 479-nucleotide ribosomal RNA is filed under the name uncultured bacterium. RNAcentral's name for it is "SSU rRNA". It matches the Rfam family "Bacterial small subunit ribosomal RNA", at positions 26 to 523 of the family's 1533-position model. The record is from RNAcentral.